Molecule: regulatory RNA element, 80 nt
Organism: Aerococcus urinae
Lineage: Bacteria; Bacillati; Bacillota; Bacilli; Lactobacillales; Aerococcaceae
Rfam family: L17 ribosomal protein downstream element
Source: Rfam
UGAGUGUUAUGAUGAUGGAAAGGAAGAAGUCUUUCUUUCCGAGUCUAGCUCUUUCAUCCCUAGGCAGAAGUCUAGGGAUG